CAGCAGCCGCGGUAAUACGUAGGGUGCGAGCGUUGUCCGGAAUUACUGGGCGUAAAGAGCUCGUAGGCGGUUUGUCGCGUCGUCUGUGAAAUUCUGCAGCUUAACUGUAGGCGUGCAGGCGAUACGGGCAGACUUGAGUACUACAGGGGAGACUGGAAUUCCUGGUGUAGCGGUGAAAUGCGCAGAUAUCAGGAGGAACACCGGUGGCGAAGGCGGGUCUCUGGGUAGUAACUGACGCUGAGGAGCGAAAGCGUGGGUAGCGAACAGGAUUAGAUACCCCCGUAGUCCCUGUCUCUUAUAC
RNAcentral lists this ribosomal RNA (301 nucleotides) under uncultured bacterium. Its description in RNAcentral is "partial 16S ribosomal RNA". It matches the Rfam family "Bacterial small subunit ribosomal RNA", at positions 509 to 807 of the family's 1533-position model. The record is from RNAcentral.